RNAcentral lists this ribosomal RNA (271 nucleotides) under uncultured Hoeflea sp. RNAcentral's name for it is "partial 16S ribosomal RNA". It matches the Rfam family "Bacterial small subunit ribosomal RNA", at positions 8 to 307 of the family's 1533-position model. The record is from RNAcentral. Lineage: Bacteria; Pseudomonadati; Pseudomonadota; Alphaproteobacteria; Hyphomicrobiales; Rhizobiaceae.
AGAGUUUGAUCAUGGCUCAGAACGAACGCUGGCGGCAGGCUUAACACAUGCAAGUCGAACGAUCUCUUCGGAGAUAGUGGCAGACGGGUGAGUAACGCGUGGGAACCUACCUUAUUCUACGGAAUAACAGUUAGAAAUGACUGCUAAUACCGUAUACGCCCUUCGGGGGAAAGAUUUAUCGGAGUAAGAUGGGCCCGCGUUGGAUUAGCUAGUUGGUGGGGUAAUGGCCUACCAAGGCGACGAUCUAUAGCUGGUCUGAGAGGAUGAUCAG